ACGGAGGGUGCGAGCGUUGUCCGGAAUCACUGGGCGUAAAGGGCGCGUAGGCGGCCUGAUAAGUAGGGGGUGAAAUCCUGCGGCUUAACCGCAGGGCUGCCUUCUAAACUGUCAGGCUUGAGCACAGUAGAGGCAGGUGGAAUUCCCGGUGUAGCGGUGGAAUGCGUAGAGAUCGGGAAGAACAUCAGUGGCGAAGGCGGCCUGCUGGGCUGUUGCUGACGCUGAGGCGCGACAGCGUGGGGAGCAAACAGGA
RNAcentral lists this ribosomal RNA (253 nucleotides) under uncultured prokaryote. RNAcentral describes it as "partial 16S ribosomal RNA". It matches the Rfam family "Bacterial small subunit ribosomal RNA", at positions 525 to 777 of the family's 1533-position model. The record is from RNAcentral.